ACACUUGUAGCUCAGCGUGGUAGAGCAACGGUCUCCAAAACCGUGUGUCCCUGGUUCGACCCCAGGCAGGUGUG
Non-coding RNA from Salvia splendens (bonfire salvia), 74 nucleotides. NCBI's taxonomy places the organism in Eukaryota, Viridiplantae, Streptophyta, Magnoliopsida, Lamiales, Lamiaceae. The record is from the annotation of a RefSeq genome assembly.